Molecule: long non-coding RNA, 381 nt
Filed under: Capsicum annuum
Lineage: Eukaryota; Viridiplantae; Streptophyta; Magnoliopsida; Solanales; Solanaceae
Description: long non-coding RNA (CANN_LNC012782)
Source: RNAcentral
AUUAAUUGUAUAUUUUUUAUAUCCAUUUUCUAAUUUUCUAAAUAUACGUAAUUUAUCAUAGUUGAUGUAUAGGUUUGGUAUGUAAGUAUUUGUAAGAGUAGGUAGGUAGGUGUGGUAUGUAAUUUAUUCUAGUCAUAAAAUAUUUAUCAAAUAUUUUUUCCAAUAUGAUUUUUCUUCUAUCUACAAUUUCUAUAUCCUUAAGUAUAUACAAAACAAGUAUUUUGAAUUUAUCUAUCAUUUUGUCAAAUAAAUAAGUAUUCAUUUUUCAUAUGAUGCUUUUUCAAAAUAUUCCCUUCAAUCAUACACAUAACAAAAUAUGAUCAUUUUAGAUUACUAUAUACUAUAUUAUUCUUAAAUAACAGGUUCUUCGGUCACUAUUAG